Molecule: transfer RNA, 87 nt
Filed under: Candidatus Bathyarchaeota archaeon BA1
Lineage: Archaea; Thermoproteati; Candidatus Bathyarchaeota
Description: tRNA-Ser
Source: RNAcentral
GGUUGCCCUAGCCUGGUAGGGGGCAGGCCUGCUAAGCCUGUGGUCAGAAAUUGGCCCCGCGGGUUCAAAAUUUCCGGGGAGACUUCC